UACGUAGGGGGCAAGCGUUGUCCGGAUUUAUUGGGCGUAAAAAGCGUGUAGGCGGCUUUACAGGUCCGUUGUGAAAACUCGAGGCUCAACCUCGAGACGCCGGUGGAAACCGUAAAGCUAGAGUCCGGAAGAGGAGAGUGGAAUUCCUGGUGUAGCGGUGAAAUGCGCAGAUAUCAGGAAGAACACCCGUGGCGAAGGCGGCUCUCUGGGACGGUACUGACGCUGAGACGCGAAAGCGUGGGGAGCGAACAGG
RNAcentral lists this ribosomal RNA (253 nucleotides) under uncultured bacterium. Its description in RNAcentral is "partial 16S ribosomal RNA". It matches the Rfam family "Bacterial small subunit ribosomal RNA", at positions 524 to 776 of the family's 1533-position model. The record is from RNAcentral.